AUACGGAGGGUGCAAGCGUUAAUCGGAAUUACUGGGCGUAAAGCGUACGUAGGCGGUUAUUUAAGUCAGAUGUGAAAGCCCCGGGCUUAACUUGGGAACUGCAUUUGAAACUGGGUAACUAGAGUUUAGUAGAGGGGAGUGGAAUCUCAGGUGUAGCGGUGAAAUGCGUAGAGAUCUGAAGGAACACCAGUGGCGAAGGCGACUCCCUGGACUAAAACUGACGCUGAGGUACGAAAGCGUGGGUAGCAAACAGGAUUAGAAACCCUAGUAGUCC
This 274-nucleotide ribosomal RNA is filed under the name uncultured bacterium. Its description in RNAcentral is "partial 16S ribosomal RNA". It matches the Rfam family "Bacterial small subunit ribosomal RNA", at positions 523 to 796 of the family's 1533-position model. The record is from RNAcentral.